RNAcentral lists this ribosomal RNA (262 nucleotides) under uncultured archaeon. RNAcentral's name for it is "partial 16S ribosomal RNA". It matches the Rfam family "Archaeal small subunit ribosomal RNA", at positions 748 to 1008 of the family's 1478-position model. The record is from RNAcentral.
UAGGCGUAAAUGAUGCGAGUUAAGUGUGGGGGCAUCUACGAGAUGGCCCUGUGCUGUAGGGUAGCCGUUAAACUCGCUGCCUGGGGAGUACGGUCGCAAGGCUGAAACUUAAAGGAAUUGGCGGGGGGAGCACCACAACGGGUGGAGCCUGCGGUUUAAUUGGACUCAACGCCGGGAAGCUCACCGGAUAAGACAGCGGAAUGAUUGCCGGGCUGAAGGCCCUGCAUGACCAGCUGAGAGGUGGUGCAUGGCGUCAGUGACU